This 260-nucleotide ribosomal RNA is filed under the name Burkholderia sp. ISO655_OTU803. RNAcentral describes it as "partial 16S ribosomal RNA". It matches the Rfam family "Bacterial small subunit ribosomal RNA", at positions 30 to 289 of the family's 1533-position model. The record is from RNAcentral. RNAcentral also lists the same sequence under 1 other name. Lineage: Bacteria; Pseudomonadati; Pseudomonadota; Betaproteobacteria; Burkholderiales; Burkholderiaceae.
UUGAACGCUGGCGGCAUGCCUUACACAUGCAAGUCGAACGGCAGCACGGGAGCAAUCCUGGUGGCGAGUGGCGAACGGGUGAGUAAUACAUCGGAACGUGUCCUGUAGUGGGGGAUAGCCCGGCGAAAGCCGGAUUAAUACCGCAUACGAUCUGUGGAUGAAAGCGGGGGCUCCUUCGGGACCUCGCGCUGCAGGGGCGGCCGAUGGCAGAUUAGCUAGUUGGUGGGGUAAAGGCCUACCAAGGCGACGAUCUGUAGCUG